RNAcentral lists this ribosomal RNA (274 nucleotides) under uncultured bacterium. Its description in RNAcentral is "partial 16S ribosomal RNA". It matches the Rfam family "Bacterial small subunit ribosomal RNA", at positions 523 to 796 of the family's 1533-position model. The record is from RNAcentral.
AUACGGAGGUGGUUAGCGUUGUUCGGAAUCACUGGGCGUAAAGCGCGUGCAGGCGGCUAUUUAAGUUGGAUGUGAAAGCCUACGGCUCAACCGUAGAACUGCAUCCAAAACUAUUUAGCUAGAGUGUGGGAGAGGAAGAUGGAAUUAGUUGUGUAGGGGUAAAAUCCGUAGAGAUAACUAGGAAUACCAAAAGCGAAGGCAAUCUUCUGGAACACUACUGACGCUGAGGCGCGAAAGCGAGGGGAGCAAACAGGAUUAGAUACCCCAGUAGUCC